This 398-nucleotide ribosomal RNA is filed under the name uncultured bacterium. Its description in RNAcentral is "bacterial SSU rRNA". It matches the Rfam family "Bacterial small subunit ribosomal RNA", at positions 28 to 430 of the family's 1533-position model. The record is from RNAcentral.
GACGAACGCUGGCGGCGUGCUUAACACAUGCAAGUCGAGCGGAAAGGCCCUUUCGGGGGUACUCGAGCGGCGAACGGGUGAGUAACACGUGAGUAAUCUGCCCUUGGCUUUGGGAUAACCACCGGAAACGGUGGCUAAUACCGGAUAUGACGGGCUCCGGCAUCGGGGUUCGUGGAAAGUUUUUUCGGCCAGGGAUGUGCUCGCGGCCUAUCAGCUUGUUGGUGGGGUAAUGGCCUACCAAGGCUUCGACGGGUAGCCGGCCUGAGAGGGUGACCGGCCACACUGGGACUGAGACACGGCCCAGACUCCUACGGGAGGCAGCAGUGGGGAAUAUUGGACAAUGGGCGGAAGCCUGAUCCAGCAACGCCGCGUGAGGGAUGACGGCCUCGGUUGUAACU